CCCACAGUAUUUUCUUGAGAAAAUCUCUCAAAUCCCUCGAUUUUCUUCAAAAUUUUUGUUGUAAAAUCCUAAGGGAGGACGGGGGAUCUUUAUAGUGAAGGUUUCCUACCCUAGCCGGACUCUUUGAGUCCGAUUUCAUCGAAAAUGAGAAGGAAGAAGACUCCGGUUAGGAGUCUUCCUCCUCUUCUGUAAAUUUUUUUUGUUGUUGUUGUUGGGCCGUCUGAGCUACAGGCCCAAGU
This 239-nucleotide long non-coding RNA is filed under the name Elaeis guineensis (African oil palm). RNAcentral's name for it is "long non-coding RNA (EGUI_LNC048974)". The record is from RNAcentral. Lineage: Eukaryota; Viridiplantae; Streptophyta; Magnoliopsida; Arecales; Arecaceae.